RNAcentral lists this ribosomal RNA (490 nucleotides) under uncultured bacterium. RNAcentral describes it as "bacterial SSU rRNA". It matches the Rfam family "Bacterial small subunit ribosomal RNA", at positions 9 to 466 of the family's 1533-position model. The record is from RNAcentral.
GAGUUUGAACCUGGCUCAGGACGAACGCUGGCGGCGUGCCUAAUACAUGCAAGUCGAGCGAGCUUGCCUAGAUGAUUUUAGUGCUUGCACUAAAUGAAACUAGAUACAAGCGAGCGGCGGACGGGUGAGUAACACGUGGGUAACCUGCCCAAGAGACUGGGAUAACACCUGGAAACAGAUGCUAAUACCGGAUAACAACACUAGACGCAUGUCUAGAGUUUGAAAGAUGGUUCUGCUAUCACUCUUGGAUGGACCUGCGGUGCAUUAGCUAGUUGGUAAGGUAACGGCUUACCAAGGCAAUGAUGCAUAGCCGAGUUGAGAGACUGAUCGGCCACAUUGGGACUGAGACACGGCCCAAACUCCUACGGGAGGCAGCAGUAGGGAAUCUUCCACAAUGGACGAAAGUCUGAUGGAGCAACGCCGCGUGAGUGAAGAAGGGUUUCGGCUCGUAAAGCUCUGUUGGUAGUGAAGAAAGAUAGAGGUAGUAACU